RNAcentral lists this ribosomal RNA (450 nucleotides) under Scarabaeus sp. dgi1. Its description in RNAcentral is "partial 16S ribosomal RNA". It matches the Rfam family "Bacterial large subunit ribosomal RNA", at positions 1816 to 2525 of the family's 2925-position model. The record is from RNAcentral. Lineage: Eukaryota; Metazoa; Arthropoda; Insecta; Coleoptera; Scarabaeidae.
CAUGUCUUUUUGAUUAUAAUAUAAAGUCUGACCUGCCCUAUGAAUAAAUAUUUUUAAAUGGCUGCGGUACUUUGACCGUGCAAAGGUAGCAUAAUAAUUAGUUUUUUAAUUGAGAACUGGUAUGAAAGGUUUGACGAGGGAGAGACUGUCUCAAUUUAAUUUAAAUUAGAAUUUUAUUUUUAAGUAAAAAAGCUUAAAUAAUUUUAAAAGACGAGAAGACCCUAUAGAAUUUUAUAUUUAUAUAUUUAUUUGAAAGUUUCAGUAUUUAAGAUUUAGGUAAUUAUAUAAAUAUUUGGUUGGGGCAAUUAAAAAAUUAAAUAAACUUUUUUUAUAUUAAACCAUUGAUAUAUGAGUAAGUGAUCCAUAUUUUAUGAUUAUAAGAUUAAAUUACCUUAGGGAUAACAGCGUAAUUUUUUUUUAGAGUUCUUAUCGAAAAAAAAGUUUGCGACC